GACGAAGGGGGCUAGCGUUGCUCGGAAUCACUGGGCGUAAAGCGCACGUAGGCGGCUUUCUAAGUCAGGGGUGAAAUCCUGGAGCUCAACUCCAGAACUGCCUUUGAUACUGGAGAGCUUGAGUCCGGGAGAGGUGAGUGGAACUCCGAGUGUAGAGGUGAAAUUCGUAGAUAUUCGGAAGAACACCAGUGGCGAAGGCGGCUCACUGGCCCGGUACUGACGCUGAGGUGCGAAAGCGUGGGGAGCAAACAGG
This 253-nucleotide ribosomal RNA is filed under the name uncultured bacterium. RNAcentral's name for it is "partial 16S ribosomal RNA". It matches the Rfam family "Bacterial small subunit ribosomal RNA", at positions 524 to 776 of the family's 1533-position model. The record is from RNAcentral.